ACGGUUUGAAGGAGAAUAAGCAUUCUACCGAGAAAGUGCGAAUGGCUCAUUAUAUAAGUUAUCGUUUAUUUGAUAGUACCUUACUACUUGGAUAACCGUGGUAAUUCUAGAGCUAAUACAUGCUAAACAUCCCGACUUCGGAAGGGAUCCAUUUAUUAGAUUAAAAACCAAUGCCCUUCGGGGCUCACUGGCGAUUCAUGAUAACUCCUCGAAUCGUAUGGCCUUGCGCCGGCUAUGGUUCAUUCAAAUUUCUUCCCUAUCAACUUUCGAUGUUUGGGAAUUGUCCAAACAUGGUUGCAACGGGUAACGGAGGGAUAGGGCUCGACCCCGGAGAAGGAGCCUGAGAAACGGCUACUACAUCCCAGGAAGGCAGCAGGCGCGCAAAUUACCCAAUCCCGACACGGGGAGGUAGUGACAAUAGAUACUGAUACAGGGCUCUUUUGGGUCUUGUAAUUGGAAUGAGUACUAUUUAAAUCCCUUAACGAGGAACAGUUGGAGGGCAAGUCUGGUGCCAGCAGCCGCGGUAAUUCCAGCUCCAAUAGCGCAUAUAAAAGUUGUUGUGGUUAAAAAGCUCGUAGUUGAACCUUGGGCCUGGCUGGCCGGUCCGCCUCACCGCGUGUACUGGUCCGGCCGGGCCUUUCCCUCUGUGGAACCCCAUGCCCUUCACUGGGCGUGGCGGGGAAACAGGACUUUUACUGUGAAAAAAUUAGAGUGCUCCAGGCAGGCCUAUGCUCGAAUACAUUAGCAUGGAAUAAUAGAAUAGGACGUGUGGUUCUAUUUUGUUGGUUUCUAGGACCGCCGUAAUGAUUAAUAGGGACAGUCGGGGGCAUCAGUAUUCAAUUGUCAGAGGUGAAAUUCUUUGAUUUAUUGAAGACUAACAACUGCGAAAGCAUUUGCCAAGGAUGUUUUCAUUAAUCAGGAACGAAAGUUAGGGGAUCGUAGAUGAUCAGAAUCCGUAGUGGUCUUAGCCAUUUACUCUGCCGCCUGGAGACCGGACGGAUAUCUAUGAAUCGUUAGGCAGAUUCGGGAAAUCUCAGACUUGGUACAGUUUUUUUUUGACAGCA
This 1064-nucleotide ribosomal RNA is filed under the name Fusarium oxysporum. Its description in RNAcentral is "bacterial SSU rRNA". It matches the Rfam family "Eukaryotic small subunit ribosomal RNA", at positions 59 to 1116 of the family's 1831-position model. Lineage: Eukaryota; Fungi; Ascomycota; Sordariomycetes; Hypocreales; Nectriaceae. The record is from RNAcentral.